GACGAACGCUGGCGGCGUGCCUAAUACAUGCAAGUAGAACGCUGAAGAGAGGAGCUUGCUCUUCUUGGAUGAGUUGCGAACGGGUGAGUAACGCGUAGGUAACCUGCCUUGUAGCGGGGGAUAACUAUUGGAAACGAUAGCUAAUACCGCAUAACAAUGGAUGACCCAUGUCAUUUAUUUGAAAGGGGCAAAUGCUCCACUACAAGAUGGACCUGCGUUGUAUUAGCUAGUAGGUGAGGUAACGGCUCACCUAGGCGACGAUACAUAGCCGACCUGAGAGGGUGAUCGGCCACACUGGGACUGAGACACGGCCCAGACUCCUACGGGAGGCAGCAGUAGGGAAUCUUCGGCAAUGGGGGCAACCCUGACCGAGCAACGCCGCAUGAGUGAAGAAGGUUUUCGGAUCGUAAAGCUCUGUUGUAAGUCAAGAACGAGUGUGAGAGUGGAAAGUUCACACUGUGACGGUAGCUUACCAGAAAGGGACGGCUAACUACGUGCCAGCAGCCGCGGUAAUACGUAGGUCCCGAGCGUUGUCCGGAUUUAUUGGGCGUAAAGCGAGCGCAGGCGGUUUGAUAAGUCUGAAGUUAAAGGCUGUGGCUCAACCAUAGUUCGCUUUGGAAACUGUCAAACUUGAGUGCAGAAGGGGAGAGUGGAAUUCCAUGUGUAGCGGUGAAAUGCGUAGAUAUAUGGAGGAACACCGGUGGCGAAAGCGGCUCUCUGGUCUGUAACUGACGCUGAGGCUCGAAAGCGUGGGGAGCGAACAGG
RNAcentral lists this ribosomal RNA (765 nucleotides) under uncultured Streptococcus sp. RNAcentral's name for it is "bacterial SSU rRNA". It matches the Rfam family "Bacterial small subunit ribosomal RNA", at positions 28 to 776 of the family's 1533-position model. The record is from RNAcentral. Lineage: Bacteria; Bacillati; Bacillota; Bacilli; Lactobacillales; Streptococcaceae.